This is a long non-coding RNA of Homo sapiens (human), 2462 nucleotides long. RefSeq lists it as uncharacterized. The record is from RefSeq and is a predicted model, not a curated record. The transcript is spliced from 2 exons. NCBI's taxonomy places the organism in Eukaryota, Metazoa, Chordata, Mammalia, Primates, Hominidae.
GGACUCAGUGUCCCCCCACCCCAAGGCCUGGGUUCUGACACAGGCUCUGCGGCCACACACUUCUUGUGUGAUCUUGGGCAAGUCAUCGUGUUCUCUGAGAAAUUACAUUGAUUACUGAGGAGGAGUUGCGUGCAGAGGAUCCCUGAGAGCUCUGGAAGAACUUGUUGGAAGUGGGUUUUUGGAAGAAGAAACUGCAUGAGCAAAGAGACUGGGAAGUCCAAGAGCAUGGAGCUGGCAUCUGGAGAGGGCCCUUGGGCUGCAUCAUCCCAUAGUGGAAGGCAAAAGGGUAAGAGAUUGUGCAAGAGAGAACAAGAGGGAAGGGUGCUGAGCUCAUCCUUUUACCAAGAACCCAAUCCCACGAUAACCAACCCACUCCCAUGAUAAUGGCAUUAAUCAUUCCUUAAAGGUCCUACAUGUCACCACUCUUGCACUGGGGAUUACAUGUCCAAUAUGUGAACUCUGGGGGAUACAUUCAAAACUUAGCAGAGGGGAAGAGGCUCCCAGUGAGUCUUGCUCUUCUCUGAGUCUAGAGCAAACCUACCAAACACAGAAUCAUUGAUGACACAGAGACAAUGGCCCGACUCAUGGCCCUAUCUGCCACUCUAAGCCAUUGGACUCCUGUGAGCCUCACCAGGUUACACAGGGAAGCCCCAACCUGUGACUCACAAGAGCUCACUCCCAAGUCUGCUCUGCCAGAUGCUACGGUGGCUCUGGUUGUCACUAUUAUGUGGACUAUUAUGUCUACUGUGCACCUGCCAGAUAUCCUCUGGGUACAUUGGUGCCAUACCUUCACCCUGUGACUGGGGCGCAGGAGCCCUGGGGAUGCCCCACUCACCCUUCCAGGCAAGAAUGAGUCCUCCCAUUUUACAGAUGAGGUAACAGAGGCUCAGAGAGGCAAAGUGAUGGGCUGUGGGACACACAUCUGGAAAAUGGUACAGUCAGCACAUACACACGCACACAUCUGGCUGUGCUCUGGUUGCCUCUAACAAGCAUUUAUUGAGCCCCUGCUGUAUACCGAGCAUUUGUGAUAUUUGUGAGCAUAGUCAUUACCUACAUCCUCUCAUAGGCUGGAGGCAGCGUAAGAGGAAGGAGAUCCUCCUACAUGGCGUGAUGGGUGCAGCAGCAGCAGCAGGUGACACUCAUGCAAUGUGCCAGGCACACACCCAAGGAUGUCUCAUCACUCCAUGCCACAGCCCUGUGGUCACGUGGUGAACAUAGCUUGGGUGGUGAUGAGCAGCCAGCCUUGGUCCAGCCCCUGUUCUCAAGUGUGGGUGGUCUUGGGUUGACUGGGGUUGGGGGGAGGUUAGGAAACAAGCCCUGUGACCAUUGGACCUUUCUCAGGUAGUGGUGGGCGGUGUGAGCUUUAUGUCUUUGCUCUCAGGACAACACAGAGCAGCUGAUAAUGCUGCUGUUCAUUGACCCUGUGAUGGUACUGUGGUGUAGUUUAUACAAUUGAACCUUCGGAUUUCACUUACUACCUGAGGGUGGGUUUUUAAUGGUCUGUUAUUAUUAUCUCCAUUUUACAGAUGAAGAAAACUGAGGUUCAGAGAUUCUAAGUAGGGAGGAUUUGAAUCUGGCGCUUGAUUGCCAAGGCCUGUCCCCUAACUGCCUCCUGGUUCUCUGGGGAGGGAGGGAUGAGGCAGGUCAGGGGCUCUGGGCUGGCUUCCCAAAGGAGGAGGUGAGGGCUAGACUGAGACUUGACGGACAAGCAGGCGUGGGACUGAUGGAGCGCGUGUGUGUGUGUGUGUGGAGAGGGGGUGGCGGCUUGGGCAGGGCUUACUAGGUGGGGCCCAGCGGGGCUGGAAGGUGGGAGCAGGGGAGCCGGCUGCAAUCUCAGCUUGUCACCUGGGUUACCCUGUGUUAGUAAAAUCAAAGUGAGGUCACGCCCCCUCCUGCACUCAGAAGACUCCUGUGGCUCCACGUUGCAUGUGGAGGAAAAGCCGAAGUUCUGACAGUGGCCUGCCAGGCCCUGCCCUGGCUGACCCCGGCCACUCCUCUGACCUCAUGUCCAGUCUAGGUCCCCUUUGCUCACUGAGCUCAGGCCGUGCAUUCAGGAACCACGUCAGGGAUGCUCACGGCCCUUCUGCCUGCAAAGCUCUGCUCGGAGAUAUCUAGAGGGCCCCCUUACCUUGCCAAAUCUUUUCAUAGACAGGCCUUCCCUGACCAUCUUAUUUAAAAUUGUGACAUCCCCCUUUCCGCACCCCUGCCUCUCACACUCUCGCUUCCCCUUUCUUGGUUUAAUUGCUACUUUUUCACAGCACUUAUCAGCAUCUGACAUGCUAUGUAUUUUACUUGCUUAUUUGUUUAGUGCCUGGCAGUCCCUGUAAUGACGUCAGCUUUAACUGAGAUUUUGUCCAUGUUAUUCACUGCUAUAUCCCCAGAGCCUAGAACAAUGCCUGGCACAUACUAGGUGCUCAAUAAAAUAAAUUGUUGCCUAAAUAAAAAUACCAGCAAUGACCCCA